GACGAACGCUGGCGGCGUGCUUAACACAUGCAAGUCGAACGGUGAAGCGCCUUCCUUUUUGGUGGGUGUGGAUGAGUGGCGAACGGGUGAGUAACACGUGAGUAACCUGCCCCCUUCUUCUGGAUAACCGCAUGAAAGUGUGGCUAAUACGGGAUAUUCUGGGUCUGUCGCAUGAUGGGUCUGGGAAAGAUAUUGUUUCGGUGGGGGAUGGGCUCGCGGCCUAUCAGCUUGUUGGUGGGGUGAUGGCCUACCAAGGCGGUGACGGGUAGCCGGCCUGAGAGGGUGGACGGUCACACUGGGACUGAGACACGGCCCAGACUCCUACGGGAGGCAGCAGGGGGGAAUAUUGCACAGUGGGCGCAAGCCUGAUGCAGCGACGCCGCGUGAGGGAUGGAGGCCUUCGGGUUGUGAACCUCUUUCGCCAGUGAAGCAGGCCUGCCUCGUUUGUGGGUGGGUUGACGGUAGCUGGAUAAGAAGCGCCGGCUAACUACGUG
Molecule: ribosomal RNA, 494 nt
Filed under: uncultured bacterium
Lineage: Bacteria
Description: partial 16S ribosomal RNA
Rfam family: Bacterial small subunit ribosomal RNA
Source: RNAcentral